AUGUUAGGCCGUGUGGUCGACGCCUUGGGAGUACCUAUUGAUGGAAAAGGGGCUCUAAGCGAUCACGAACGAAGACGUGUCGAAGUGAAAGCCCCAGGGAUUAUUGAACGUAAAUCUGUGCACGGACCCAUGCAAACAGGCUUAAAAGCAGACAGGAUAAAGGGGUUGUCAAUCCCUUCACAGUCACUUACGAGAGUGAGAUAUGAUAGAUAUGAUAGGACAAUAUUUUUGGUAUUUUUAUGA
This 243-nucleotide ribosomal RNA is filed under the name Triticum aestivum (bread wheat). RNAcentral describes it as "partial small subunit ribosomal RNA". The record is from RNAcentral. Lineage: Eukaryota; Viridiplantae; Streptophyta; Magnoliopsida; Poales; Poaceae.